CGUCAAAUCAUCAUGCCCUUUAUGAUCUGGGCUACACACGUACUACAAUGGCCGGUACAGACGGCAGCGCAGCCGCGAGGCGAAGCUAACCCGAGAAAGCCGGUCCCAGUUCGGAUUGCAGGCUGCAACUCGCCUGCAUGAAGUCGGAAUCGCUAGUAAUCGCAGGUCAGCAUACUGCGGUGAAUACGUUCCCGGGCCUU
RNAcentral lists this ribosomal RNA (200 nucleotides) under uncultured prokaryote. Its description in RNAcentral is "partial 16S ribosomal RNA". It matches the Rfam family "Bacterial small subunit ribosomal RNA", at positions 1183 to 1382 of the family's 1533-position model. The record is from RNAcentral.